This 497-nucleotide ribosomal RNA is filed under the name uncultured bacterium. RNAcentral describes it as "partial 16S ribosomal RNA". It matches the Rfam family "Bacterial small subunit ribosomal RNA", at positions 28 to 507 of the family's 1533-position model. The record is from RNAcentral.
GAUGAACGCUGGCGGCGUGCCUAAUACAUGCAAGUCGAGCGAACAGACGAGGAGCUUGCUCCUCUGACGUUAGCGGCGGACGGGUGAGUAACACGUGGAUGACCUACCUAUAAGACUGGGAUAACUUCGGGAAACCGGAGCUAAUACCGGAUAAUAUAUUGAACCGCAUGGUUCAAUAGUGAAAGACGGUUUUGCUGUCACUUAUAGAUGGAUCCGCGCCGCAUUAGCUAGUUGGUAAGGUAACGGCUUACCAAGGCAACGAUGCGUAGCCGACCUGAGAGGGUGAUCGGCCACACUGGAACUGAGACACGGUCCAGACUCCUACGGGAGGCAGCAGUAGGGAAUCUUACGCAAUGGGCGAAAGCCUGACGGAGCAACGCCGCGUGAGUGAUGAAGGUCUUCGGAUCGUAAAACUCUGUUAUUAGGGAAGAACAAAUGUGUAAGUAACUAUGCACGUCUUGACGGUACCUAAUCAGAAAGCCACGGCUAACUACGUG